Cucurbita pepo subsp. pepo (vegetable marrow) is the source of this 383-nucleotide non-coding RNA. NCBI's taxonomy places the organism in Eukaryota, Viridiplantae, Streptophyta, Magnoliopsida, Cucurbitales, Cucurbitaceae. The record is from RefSeq and is a predicted model, not a curated record.
GAGAUACCGAUGGAAGAGUUCCCGUGUUGUCGACAAGAUACAGUCUUAGUUCACUUGGUCUACCAAUUACGAAGGCCUGGAGGCCUUGGUACCAUGAGAAGCAGGUGAGCGGGUGGUACCAGGAAUAUGCUGGCCUAACGUUUGCAACAUUUAGGGGAGCUGGGCAUGCAGUGCCAUGCUUCAAGCCAAGCAGUUCAUUGGCGUUCUUUGCUUCGUUUCUGAAUGGACAAUCCCUACCUUCUUCUAAAUGAUUGAUUUGGAAGUGGUUUUAGCUAAUGUAUUCGUAUUAGAAGGUUUAAUUAAUGAUGUUUUUGGAUGAACAAGAGAAAUUUUAGUGUAUAACAUAAUGUUUCUACUCAAUUAUAAAGAUACUGUUUGUUGUA